CCUACGGGUGGCAGCAGUGGGGAAUAUUGGACAAUGGGGGGAACCCUGAUCCAGUGACGCCGCGUGAGUGAAGAAGUAUUUCGGUAUGUAAAGCCCUAUCAGCAGGGAAGAAAGAAAUGACGGUACCUGACUAAGAAGCCCCGGCUAACUACGUGCCAGCAGCCGCGGUAAUACGUAGGGGGCAAGCGUUAUCCGGAUUUACUGGGGGUAAAGGGAGCGUAGACGGCGAUGCAAGGCGGAAGGUAAAGGCGGGGGCCCAACCUCCGGACUGCUUUGGAAACUGUAUGGCUGGAGUGCAGGAGGGGUAAGUGGAAUUCCGAGUGUAGCGGUGAAAUGCGUAGAUAUUAGGAGGAACACCAGUGGCGAAGGCGGCUUACUGGACUGUAACUGACGUUGAGGCUCGAAGGCGUGGGGAGCGAACAGGAUUAGAUACCCCAGUAGUC
This 443-nucleotide ribosomal RNA is filed under the name uncultured bacterium. RNAcentral describes it as "partial 16S ribosomal RNA". It matches the Rfam family "Bacterial small subunit ribosomal RNA", at positions 338 to 795 of the family's 1533-position model. The record is from RNAcentral.